Molecule: ribosomal RNA, 465 nt
Filed under: Vreelandella stevensii
Lineage: Bacteria; Pseudomonadati; Pseudomonadota; Gammaproteobacteria; Oceanospirillales; Halomonadaceae
Description: partial 16S ribosomal RNA
Rfam family: Bacterial small subunit ribosomal RNA
Source: RNAcentral
CCUACGGGUGGCUGCAGUGGGGAAUAUUGGACAAUGGGGGCAACCCUGAUCCAGCCAUGCCGCGUGUGUGAAGAAGGCCCUCGGGUUGUAAAGCACUUUCAGUGAGGAAGAACGCCUGGUGGUUAAUACCCAUCAGGAAAGACAUCACUCACAGAAGAAGCACCGGCUAACUCCGUGCCAGCAGCCACGGUAAUACGGAGGGUGCGAGCGUUAAUCGGAAUUACUGGGCGUAAAGCGCGCGUAGGUGGCUUGAUAAGCCGGUUGUGAAAGCCCCGGGCUCAACCUGGGAACGGCAUCCGGAACUGUCAAGCUAGAGUGCAGGAGAGGAAGGUAGAAUUCCCGGUGUAGCGGUGAAAUGCGUAGAGAUCGGGAGGAAUACCAGUGGCGAAGGCGGCCUUCUGGACUGACACUGACACUGAGGUGCGAAAGCGUGGGUAGCAAACAGGAUUAGAUACCCGGGUAGUC